RNAcentral lists this ribosomal RNA (481 nucleotides) under uncultured bacterium. Its description in RNAcentral is "partial 16S ribosomal RNA". It matches the Rfam family "Bacterial small subunit ribosomal RNA", at positions 28 to 507 of the family's 1533-position model. The record is from RNAcentral.
GACGAACGUUGGCGGCGUGCUUAAUACAUGCAAGUCCACUGAAGCAGUGGUAGCAAUAUCGCUGUGGAGGUGGCGCACGGGUGAGUAACACGUAGGUAAUCUGCCUUCAGGUCUGGCAUAACUCCGGGAAACCGGGGCUAAUAGCAGAUGAUGCAGCGGCUCGACAUCGAGACAGUUGUUAAAGCUAUGGCGCCUGAAGAUGAGCCUGCGUCUGAUUAGCUAGUUGGCGGGGUAACGGCCCACCAAGGCAACGAUCAGUAGCUGGUCUGAGAGGAUGAUCAGCCACACUGGAACUGAGACACGGUCCAGACUCCUACGGGAGGCAGCAGUAAGGAAUAUUGCUCAAUGGGAGAAAUCCUGAAGCAGCAACGCCGCGUGAGGGACGAAGGGCUUUUGCUUGUAAACCUCUGUAGUGAGGGAAAAAAAUCCCAAUCUUUGGGACAUGAUGGUAUCUCAAAAGUAAGCCCCGGCUAACUACGUG